UACGAAGGGCCCAAGCGUUAUCCGGAUUUAUUGGGUUUAAAGGGUGCGUAGGCGGAUUAUUAAGUCAGUGGUGAAAGCCUAGAGCUUAACUCUAGAACUGCCAUUGAUACUGAUAAUCUUGAGUAUGAUUGAGGUGGGCGGAAUGUGUCAUGUAGCGGUGAAAUGCUUAGAUAUGACACAGAACACCGAUUGCGAAGGCAGCUCACUAAGCCAUAACUGACGCUGAUGCACGAAAGCGUGGGGAGCAAACAGG
This 253-nucleotide ribosomal RNA is filed under the name uncultured prokaryote. RNAcentral's name for it is "partial 16S ribosomal RNA". It matches the Rfam family "Bacterial small subunit ribosomal RNA", at positions 524 to 776 of the family's 1533-position model. The record is from RNAcentral.